This 330-nucleotide ribosomal RNA is filed under the name Triticum aestivum (bread wheat). RNAcentral's name for it is "partial small subunit ribosomal RNA". Lineage: Eukaryota; Viridiplantae; Streptophyta; Magnoliopsida; Poales; Poaceae. The record is from RNAcentral.
AUGGCGUCCUUCGCCAGAGCUGCCCGUUUCAUGGUGCUCCUGCAGAUCGCGCUCUUCGCCGUCUCCGCGGUGAUCAUGAGCAGCUCCGUCUGCUACGGAGCCGGGAUCAGUCGUGAGUGCUUCCGAACUGCUCAUUUCAUCCUCUUCGUCGUCAUCUCCUCCUUCAGUUAUACUGGUGCUCUGGACCCUAGCCGCCGCCCCAUAUGCAGAGGCAGGCCGUGCGGACAGCCUGGCCUACCGUACGGCGGCCGUCCUCGGCCCUACCCUUACCGUCCGCAGCCCGGCCCUGGAGCCCCUCCGCCGUACAAUGGAGGGAUUGGACGACCAUGA